UACAGAGGUCCCAAGCGUUGUUCGGAUUCACUGGGCGUAAAGGGUGCGUAGGUGGUCAGGUAAGUCUGAUGUGAAAGCCCACGGCUCAACCGUGGAGGGUCAUUGGAAACUGGGGGACUUGAGUACAGAAGAGAAGAGUGGAAUUCCACGUGUAGCGGUGAAAUGCGUAGAGAUGUGGAGGAACACCAGUGGCGAAGGCGACUCUUUGGUCUGUAACUGAUGCUGAGGCGCGAAAGCGUGGGGAGCAAACAGG
This 253-nucleotide ribosomal RNA is filed under the name uncultured bacterium. RNAcentral describes it as "partial 16S ribosomal RNA". It matches the Rfam family "Bacterial small subunit ribosomal RNA", at positions 524 to 776 of the family's 1533-position model. The record is from RNAcentral.